CUUUCCGGUUGUGAGCCCUCAAACUAGAUAAUCCCACACCGACCAAGAGCUUCUAUGUUUCCCCGUUAUAUUACGGAGCUCAACAUCUCGGUUCGUCCGUUCGGGGACAUCCGAUAAAAUUGGAACGAUACAGAGAAGAUUAGCAUGGCCCCUGCGCAAGGAUGACACGCACAAAUCGAGAAAUGAAUGGCGUGUUUCCUUUAAGCGAGGACAUUGAAGGAGGAGCCUUCCUAAAAGGGACUCCAAUGAAGGUCCUGGGGUUGUUUGAAUAACACAUGGUUCUUUCGUAUGCCUAAUUGUUAUCAUAGCACCUACAGAUAUGUGAAGGAUGGUGAGACAAGGUUCUCCAACGCCUCAAGAGUCAGUUGAAAUCCAUCCGAAUGAAGAUACGAAGCCCUACCAGAACAUGCAACAACUCUUUGUGCUCCACACUGUUUCUGCAUAUCAAAUUUGAAUGGACUGUCGCCGUAGCCACAACAUGCCUUCAUCAAAGUUUUCAUUUUGAAUCCCAGAAAGCCCAUGGAUUUUUAGAAUAGCUGUGAAUGCUUUGUAGUAAUCUGCAUAUAUGAUAUGGACUUCAGGGUAUUUUAAUCGCAGCUCCUGAAUAAAGGUGAUUAUUGUGAAGCUUCGAGAACAUAUUCAGUCCCCUGUGGCAUAUUCUGUUUUUGCGAAUUGGAUCACCCUCACAGAGUCCAAAAACCAGGAAAGCAGCCCACACGAAGAAUUUCAGAGACCAUAAUUGUUUUACUCCAGGUUCAUUGAUGAGCUUUUCAACUGAACUUUUAAUAGUCUCCACCACUUCAGGCACAAGAUGAGACAUUUCACAUAUAGAUUUUCCAUGUAAGAAUGCAUGCUUGUAGUCAUUGAUGCCGAGUUGAUCCAUAAAGAUAAGUGCUUUUGAAGAACCUUGUUUCUGCCACAGUCAUUGAAAAAAGGUACAGUCUUUAUAGAAGAACUUCAUAAAGGUGACAAUCGGUGAUAGGUCAUGAGACUGAGGUGGUGGUGGGAUGGCAUUCUUUAGGAAGAAAAAGGGCAUGAUUGUUGCGCAAGGAAUUGCAAAACUCAGUCCAGACUCGAAGUACUCAGUGCCUUGUUGUGGAGAAGGCAAACUGAGGGUUGCAGCAAUUUGAUCAGGAGCUGAUGAUGAAGAGUCGCUAUCCCCGCGGGACCAUCUUCCUUCGCCAAGGAGAAAGACGGAACAAGGAGACAAGACUGGACCAAUAGCACGAGCAACAAACAAUGGCUGCUGCAAAAAAAAACCAUAAGCAAAGAAACUAAGAGCUCAAAGAAUAUGAGAAGGAGCAAGAUUGAUGCAAAACCAAGUCUGUUAUGCAAAACCUUAAGGUGGCCUUAGGGUCACCUGUUUUUAUACAAGUCUGGUGCUUAAGAAUUAUAGUAAGUAGCUUUCAUUUAGGAAAAUACCAAAGUAGUUGCAGAAUGGGAUUUAUUUUCUCUUUUUUUUGGUGGUAAUAAAAGAUUUUAUUUAAAGGGAUUUAUUUCCUA
Molecule: non-coding RNA, 1503 nt
Organism: Nicotiana tabacum (common tobacco)
Lineage: Eukaryota; Viridiplantae; Streptophyta; Magnoliopsida; Solanales; Solanaceae
Source: RefSeq, a predicted model, not a curated record